UUUUUUUUGAAGCAACCAGAACUAAGACAGGGACUGGGUGUGGCAGUGACUUUAACGGGGAGAGCAGGAGGAAAAGGCUUGCCCCAGACCUCUGUGAGCGGAGAUGAACCCAUCCAGAGAGAGAAGCGGAGUGGCAAUGUGUGUGAGGUCCAGUGGUGAAAGAUGGGCAGCAGUAAAUGGAGAGGGGUAGUGAACCAUGAAGGAGCUGCACCAAGGCUGAGAGGGGCCCCCAAAGACAGAAAGAGGGGUCUGAGAGGAAAGGAGUGAUCAGUCAUUUUAAAUACGACAGAGGGAAGAUGUUGUCAUGACUUUUGGUUUUACCGUCUAGGAUGCCCCGUGUGGAGUUCCCGUCGUGGCGCGGUGGUUAACGAAUCCGACUAGGAACCAUGAGGUUUCGCGUUCGGUCCCUGCCCUUGCUCAGUGGAUUAAGGGUUCGGCGUUGCCGUGAGCUGUGGUGUAGGUUGAAGAUGUGGCUCGGAUCCCGCAUUGCUGUGGCUACAGUUCCGAUUAGACCCCUAGCCUGGGAACCUCCAUAUGCCUCGGAAGCGGCCCAAGAAAUGGCAAAAAGACAAAAAAUAAUAAUAAUAAAUAAUAGAAUGCCCCGUGUGACAUUAACAGGGACUGCUGCUUGCAGAGCUGGGGGUGGGAGGCGGAGAUCAGGAUGGAAGGAAUGCAGUGAGGAAAAGGGAACAAAGGGAACGGAAGGUGUGGAAGUGAAGGCACGGAGUGUCGACAGCUCUUUCAGGAAAGCUGGGCACAAAAGGAGGAAGGGAGAAGGAACCUGAGUAAGAAGGACGACUAGAAUCAGGGCACCGCGUCUUAGGCUUUCCCUGAGCCCGUGGACGCAAGGCUUUUUCUGGAUGUAGUCUGAAAAGUUGUGGUGAAAAUAGAAGAGGGAUAAGCUGGGCUUCCUUUUAAAUUUCUGUUGUCCUAGAGUGAAAUAAUUAUCUAAAAACUAUAAAGGGAAAGAACAGACAGGGGUGUUAAGUGCCAGGAAUCACUUUUUAAAAAUUCCAAAUCUUUAGAGUAGGAGCCUCUCACUAUGGGGUUAUGAAGUGGAGGCUGCUCUGAGAAUUAGCAAGAGGAAAUGUUCAAGGAAAAGGAAAGAUACAGUACCAGCCCUUGUAGAGAAAAACAUAGCUAUAAAUGUUAUAACACUUGGCAGUCCCUCCCUGGGACUGGGUCAGUGUGCGGUCAGCAGACCCACCUCGGGAGAGGCAUGAUCGGACUUGAUUUUGUAGUCAAGUGAUUGAUUGUAUAGGCAACAGGGAAAAGAAAGCAUUUUAUCAAAUGACUAAUAAUGGACUUUGGGUACUUGAUCUGGGAAUCUCUACUCAGAGGUAAACCAGUUGGAGGUUAAAUCCACAUUUUUGUAUAUUCAGGAAGUCGAAUAGACGGAGAUGUCCGGUCUCUUCACCUGUCAGAAGAAGCACCGUGGUCUGAUUUUUUUAUAUUCUCAGGAAUAAGAUGUUGUUUUCAAAUUCCCAUGUCGUGGGAAACCAGAGCAGCAGUUUAUACGGUCCCCCCAGAAACUGAGUGUAACGCAAUGGUUCCCGUCUUGUGUUCUCUGCGCGCACAAGCACGCUCAAGGGUGAGGUUGCACAGGUGCACAUUGCAGAUUGACAGAGAUUACAAAUAUUCAUCUAAAUGCCUAGAAUAGGUCUUGGAAGAACACAUAUCAAACAGAGAGCAGGGGUUCCCCAUGAGCAAAGCAGAGGAGGGAACUGAAAUUACAGCUGAUGGUUGGGAAACACUUUAGUUUUACCUGCCAUGUUAGUUUUUUACACUAUAAAUGUAUCAGUUGUCUAUUUUUGAAUUUUUUGGCCAAAUCAACAUGAACAAGAUUUUCCUAAUCAUUUUGGGGGACCUCAAAGAUGGUUAUCACCCAGUAGAGGGAUAGGUGAACAGGAUACAGGUAACAGAUAAAUCAGUGCCUGGUGUUCACCAGAUACUUAUUAUGCCUCCGGUAAAUCCGAAUCUUUUAUGUCUGUCAUCAGUUUUCUCUUACAAAGAAUUCGGUCUCUCUUCCUUUUGCUCUUCUUGGUACCCAUGUUUCUUCAAACAGCUGUUCUGGGAGCGAGAAGAAUGGUUUCAUCUGUGAAAAUGUCAUUUUCCUUCUCAUGAUAAACAUCAAAAAGUGAUAGCUAUCACUGUUUUUAUUAAUCCAGUGAUAACGCUUGGAGCUAUAAUUCAAGGAAUUGAACAAUGAGUGGGGAAUGAGGAGUGGGGUGGAUGAAACAGGGAAAUUCUGCAGAGGUUGUGAGGGAUGCUGAAAGAGCUCCCAUUGGUGUCUUACCCCACUUAGCACAGCAAGAAGUGAGGGCUGGGCUCAGAGCUUCUGCCAAGUGAGGAAAGGUUAGAAAGAAGCCGUGACAGAGAGUCAGGAGGAGUUGAGUAAGAAGAUUCCUGAGCAGCAGAAGGGCCUCCAUUGAGGUUUGGGGGUAAGAAUUUGCCAGAAAACAAUUUGGCCUUUGUUAACUUUCCCCCGUGAGUUUGAGUAGCUCUGAAGCAUGAGAGAAAGUAGAUUGAACUUCCACUGAUGGCUGGACAUGGGGGGACACCCCCGGAAGACCAAGAACAAGGAAAUCAGCAUGAGCAUGGUGCUGGAAUAGCUUUCUACGAGGUUCUGGUAAUGUAGGAGUGUGACACUCCAGGACUUGGCUGAAGGACCUGGAAAGGAGAAGAAACAGAAGUCAAAGAUGUCCUGUCACAAGAGAGAGAAGGAGGGUUGUAAGCAUCAAGAGAACAAAAGAGGAAUGUUAAAAUAGGGUUCAUUUUGUCAUUUAUAAUUUCUCUUCGGGAAGGAGCUGAUUUUCAUUCAUUUUUUAAUAUCGUAGCCCUUGUUCUCUAAAUGCUUUUACUAUCACCAGUGAACCAAUUAAUGGGAAGGCUGAUCUCGCUGGACAAUCUCCCACUAAGCUAUGAGUUGCUUGAAGGCAGGCCUUGUGUCCUGUGAACUGAUGCAUCAGAAAUAAAUGUGCAAGAAAUCUCAGAGGAGUUUGCAGGUCCAUACUAGUUAUUGCUGUGGACAAACGAGCUGGAUGUUUAGGACCUCUGAUUUCUUCAUCUGAAAGAUGAAAACCACAAGAUGAUUCCCAUUCCCCAGAAGGGAGGAGACUUCCUUUGCCUUCAUCCCUUAGCCUCCACUCCAUAGAACAGUCCCUCCUUGGACCAAACAUCCAUGACAGAUUCAAAACAGUUGCCUGGAGGUUGGCUACUGCUUAACAGGUAGUUACAAACCCCUCCAUGGUGCUGAGAUUCCAGCCAGCUGAGAUGGCAUGAGGCAGCUAAUUAAAGCCGUCCAGAAAACUGUAUAAAUAAAGAUGAAAAUGUAAACAUGGCCUUCAUUGGAUUCGGUGAUUAGGAAUUAUACUUGUUUGUUUCUGGGCAGAACUGUCUGUGGUCUCUCAAAAUUUUGACAUGUGGCAUAACCUGCCACUAAUCAAAAAGAAGGAAAC
RNAcentral lists this long non-coding RNA (3458 nucleotides) under Sus scrofa (pig). Its description in RNAcentral is "lncRNA (ENSSSCG00005000764.1)". Lineage: Eukaryota; Metazoa; Chordata; Mammalia; Artiodactyla; Suidae. The record is from RNAcentral.